UUGAACGCUGGGCGGCGUGCUUAACACAUGCAAGUCGAGCGGAAAGGCCCUUCGGGGUACUCGAGCGGCGAACGGGUGAGUAACACGUGAGCAACCUGCCCCCGACUCUGGGAUAAGCCCGGGAAACUGGGUCUAAUACCGGAUACGACACCCCCUCGCAUGGGGUGGGUGUGGAAAGUCUUUUCGGUUGGGGAUGGGCUCGCGGCCUAUCAGCUUGUUGGUGGGGUAGUGGCCCACCAAGGCGACGACGGGUAGCCGGCCUGAGAGGGCGACCGGCCACACUGGGACUGAGACACGGCCCAGACUCCUACGGGAGGCAGCAGUGGGGAAUAUUGCACAAUGGGGGAAACCCUGAUGCAGCGACGCCGCGUGCGGGAUGACGGCCUUCGGGUUGUAAACCGCUUUCAGCAGGGACGAACACAGACGGUACCUGCAGAAGAAGCGCCGGCUAACUACGUGCCAGCAGCCGCGGUAAUACGUAGGGCGCAAGCGUUGUCCGGAAUUAUUGGGCGUAAAGAGCUCGUAGGCGGUCUGUCGCGUCGGAUGUGAAAGCUCGAGGCUUAACCUCGGGUCUGCAUCCGAUACGGGCAGACUAGAGGCAGGUAGGGAGAACAGA
This 616-nucleotide ribosomal RNA is filed under the name Actinomycetales bacterium A245. RNAcentral's name for it is "bacterial SSU rRNA". It matches the Rfam family "Bacterial small subunit ribosomal RNA", at positions 29 to 665 of the family's 1533-position model. The record is from RNAcentral. Lineage: Bacteria; Bacillati; Actinomycetota; Actinomycetes; Actinomycetales.